CCUCGUGUUCCCUCGACAAUGACAGAGAUCGUAUUUGACUCCGUUCCGACCGAAGCGAACACCACCGACCACGACGGUUUCCGAUUGGUUUCUAUGAUGCUUGUCGACGGUGAUUCCGGCGAAUACGGACCUGCACAGGGACACCAACAGACUUUCGAACGAAAGAUAAGUUUCUGAAACCCUAAUCUCUGAUUCGAUUUGUAUCUUGCUAGGGAUUUGUGUUUAGGGUUUAUAUUUGGUUGAUUUUAGGUUCAAUCUUGCGCAGUUUAUUUACGAGUUGAGAUUCCGAUGCGGAAUCCUAUCUAUCGCUAGAUUUCGGUUUCUUUUACACCAAGGAAUAAAAUUCGGUUCCUCCAUUGGCUCACUAUGCAAACAGAGUCGAAGACUAAGACCUAACUGUUUGUGUUCCAAUGAACUAACGUGUUCUUGAAGAACCCCUACAGAAUCCCUUGGUCUGUAUAUCUUGUACUGUUCAAUAUUUAUUUUAUAACUUCAUCGAUUCUCUCUGUAUAGUGAUUCGUUCUAUCACUUGAGUUUACGAUAUAUGUAUAUGCACAUCCUUUCCUGAAAUGUGGAAAUGUGUGAAACUUUGAAUUUUACCCAUAAAAUUCCAAAACGUGUUUUAGGAAAUUUACAUCCGAUUUCGUUUAGUGCCUCCAAAGCAUAAUACUCGUUGAAAAGUCAAAUGUAGUCGGAGUCUCUCUCUCUCUCUCUCUCUCUAUAUGUAUAUGUAUAUAUAAUAUAACACGAACGCGAUAUAGAUGUCACGAAGAAGAAGAAUGGGUAGAGAGAGAUCACGCGAUGCUCUCGUGUUAACGUGGACUCUGCUUCUUGUAUUUCUUUCCUCUCAAUCUGGAUUCAUCGAGGCUACACACCGUCAACUAGGGUCUUCCUCUCAAGUUGGAAUAAUGGAGGCCACGGACCGUGAACUAGGUUCGUUACGGCGUAAGUUAGUCCCUAUAGGAACCCCACCCUCGAGAUCAAAACGUGGACGAGGACCGUAAGAAUAAUAUAUAUACGCUGAUGAUAUUUCAUGUCUAAGAAUGACGCAAAUGGUCAUGGACUUCGCGUGUUUAUAUACGAAUAAUGUUUUCAUGGAAUGCUGGCUUUAUAACUUUUAUAUUAUAUUUUCUCCUAUUUUGUUUA
Long non-coding RNA from Tarenaya hassleriana, 1146 nucleotides. RefSeq lists it as uncharacterized. Lineage: Eukaryota; Viridiplantae; Streptophyta; Magnoliopsida; Brassicales; Cleomaceae. The record is from RefSeq and is a predicted model, not a curated record. The transcript is spliced from 3 exons.